RNAcentral lists this ribosomal RNA (253 nucleotides) under uncultured bacterium. Its description in RNAcentral is "partial 16S ribosomal RNA". It matches the Rfam family "Bacterial small subunit ribosomal RNA", at positions 524 to 776 of the family's 1533-position model. The record is from RNAcentral.
UACGUAGGGUGCGAGCGUUGUCCGGAAUUAUUGGGCGUAAAGGGCUCGUAGGCGGUUUGUCGCGUCGGGAGUGAAAACCUACAGCUUAACUGUGGGCUUGCUUUCGAUACGGGCAGACUAGAGGUAUGCAGGGGAGAACGGAAUUCCUGGUGUAGCGGUGAAAUGCGCAGAUAUCAGGAGGAACACCGGCGGCGAAGGCGGCACUCUGGGCCGGUACUGACGCUGAGGAGCGAAAGCGUGGGUAGCAAACAGG